CCUACGGGCGGCAGCAGUGGGGAAUUUUGGACAAUGGGCGCAAGCCUGAUCCAGCCAUGCCGCGUGUCUGAAGAAGGCCUUCGGGUUGUAAAGGACUUUUGUUAGGGAAGAAAAGGAUAGUGUUAAUACCAUUAUCUGCUGACGGUACCUAAAGAAUAAGCACCGGCUAACUACGUGCCAGCAGCCGCGGUAAUACGUAGGGUGCGAGCGUUAAUCGGAAUUACUGGGCGUAAAGCGAGCGCAGACGGUUUAUUAAGCAAGAUGUGAAAUCCCCGAGCUUAACUUGGGAACUGCGUUUUGAACUGGUAAGCUAGAGUAUGUCAGAGGGGGGUAGAAUUCCACGUGUAGCAGUGAAAUGCGUAGAGAUGUGGAGGAAUACCGAUGGCGAAGGCAGCCCCCUGGGAUAAUACUGACGUUCAUGCUCGAAAGCGUGGGUAGCAAACAGGAUUAGAUACCCUGGUAGUC
This 465-nucleotide ribosomal RNA is filed under the name uncultured Kingella sp. RNAcentral's name for it is "bacterial SSU rRNA". It matches the Rfam family "Bacterial small subunit ribosomal RNA", at positions 338 to 795 of the family's 1533-position model. The record is from RNAcentral. Lineage: Bacteria; Pseudomonadati; Pseudomonadota; Betaproteobacteria; Neisseriales; Neisseriaceae.